GACAUUUUUAAAGCUGGAGAUACCAAUGAGGAUUCAAGAUUGGACUUUGGAGAAUUUUUGCAGUACCUUAAAGACCACCAGAAAAAAAUGAGGCUGGCAUUUAAUAGUCUGGACAAAAAUAGUGAUGGAAUAAUAGAAACUUCAGAAAUAAUUGCUGCUUUGAAAUCACUGGGUAUAAAUAUUUCUGAAGCUCAGGCAAAAAAAAUUCUACAAAGCAUUGGUAGUGAUGGAACGAUGACAGUAGACUGGGAUGAAUGGAAGUACUACUUUUUACUUCAUCCUGCAACAAAUAUUGAUGAAAUUGCUCAUUUCUGGAAGCAUUCUACUAUAAUUGACAUAGGGGAGAGUAUAUCUAUCCCAGAUGAAUUUACUGAAGAAGAAAAGCGUUCUGGAGAUUGGUGGAGGCGUUUGGUGGCAGGAGGUAUAGCUGGGGCAGUUGCAAGGACAUGCACAGCACCUUUUGACCACUUGAAAGUCAUGAUGCAGGUUCAUAGUUUAAAGUCAAGGAGAAUGAGAUUGAUUGGUGGAUUUGAGCAGAUGUUAAAAGAAGGAGGAAUUCAUUCUCUUCGGUGGGGAAAUGGUGUAAAUGUUUUUAAAAUUGCACCUGAGACAGCUCUCAAGAUUGGGGCCUAUGUACAGUGUAAGAAAUGGCUUAGUUUUGAUGGUGCUAAUGUAGGAAUUAUUGAGAGAUUUAUAUCUGGCUCAUUUGCUGGUGCAACUGCCCAGACCUGUAUUUAUCCCAUGGAGGUUCUAAAGACCAGACUGGCUCUAGGUAAAACUGGAGAGUAUUCAGGGUUCAUUGAUUGUGGCAAGAAGCUUCUGAAACAAGAAGGUGUUAGAACCUUUUUCAAAGGUUAUAUUCCUAACUUGCUAGGUAUUCUACCUUAUGCAGGCAUAGAUUUUGCUGUUUAUGAGCUGUUGAAGAAUUAUUGGCUAGAACAUCACGUGGCAGAGUCUAUAGACCCUGGGAUAAUAAUUUUGCUGGGAUGUAGUACAUUGUCUCACACGUGUGCUCAGAUAGCCACCUUCCCUCUGACCCUUAUUAGAACUUGCAUGCAGGUUCAAGCACUGGAAGAAAAAGGAACAACAACUUCUAUGAUUCAUCUCAUUCAAGAGAUAUUUAACAACGAAGGAAAAAGGGGAUUUUUCAGGGGUUCACACCAAACAUCAUAAAGGUGCUUCCCUCAGUAGGCAUCAGCUGUGGAGUUGAUGAAAUAGUGGGACAACAUUUGGGAUUAAUUUAAAAGUGAAAUAUCAAAUUGUUAUCAUUACCAAAAUCACUUAAUUGUAAGAUAAUACCUGGCUUGUAAAGAGAAAUUUGUCUUUUCCUAGAAGGAAAGACAUAUCAAAUAAUUGUUAAAACAUUUUUUCUUUACCUAUUACAAAAUUUAUAAGUU
RNA transcript from Odobenus rosmarus divergens (Pacific walrus), 1397 nucleotides. It is a transcript of the gene named calcium-binding mitochondrial carrier protein SCaMC-1-like, with no coding region annotated. The annotation marks the transcript as partial. The transcript has 9 exons. NCBI's taxonomy places the organism in Eukaryota, Metazoa, Chordata, Mammalia, Carnivora, Odobenidae. The record is from RefSeq and is a predicted model, not a curated record.